CGGUAAUACGGAGGGUGCGAGCGUUAAUCGGAAUUACUGGGCGUAAAGCGCGCGUAGGCGGCGUGAUCAGCCGGUUGUGAAAGCCCCGGGCUCAACCUGGGAACGGCAUCCGGAACUGUCACGCUAGAGUGCAGGAGAGGAAGGUAGAAUUCCCGGUGUAGCGGUGAAAUGCGUAGAGAUCGGGAGGAAUACCAGUGGCGAAGGCGGCCUUCUGGACUGACACUGACGCUGAGGUGCGAAAGCAUGGGUAGCAAACAGGAUUAGAUACCCUGGUAGUCCAUGCCGUAAACGAUGUCGACUAGCCGUUGGGGUCCUUGUGACCUUUGUGGCGCAGUUAACGCGAUAAGUCGACCGCCUGGGGAGUACGGCCGCAAGGUUAAAACUCAAAUGAAUUGACGGGGGCCCGCACAAGCGGUGGAGCAUGUGGUUUAAUUCGAUGCAACGCGAAGAACCUUACCUACUCUUGACAUCGUGCGAACUUUCCAGAGAUACAUUGGUGCCUUCGGGAACGCACAGACAGGUGCUGCAUGGCCGUCGUCAGCUCGUGUUGUGAAAUGUUGGGUUAAGUCCCGUAACGAGCGCAACCCCUAUCCCUAUUUGCCAGCGAUUCGGUCGGGAACUCUAGGGAGACUGCCGGUGACAAACCGGAGGAAGGUGGGGAUGACGUCAGGUCAUCAUGGCCCUUACGAGUAGGGCUACACACGUGCUACAAUGGCCGGUACAAAGGGUUGCGAAGCCGCGAGGUGGUGCUAAUCCCGAAAAGCCGGUCUCAGUCCGGAUCGGAGUCUGCAACUCGACUCCGUGAAGUCGGAAUCGCUAGUAAUCGUGAAUCAGAAUGUCACGGUGAAUACGUUCCCGGGCCUUGUACACACCGCCCGUCACACCAUGGGAGUGGACUGCACCAGAAGUGGUUAGCUUAACCUUCGGGAGAGCGAUCA
RNAcentral lists this ribosomal RNA (938 nucleotides) under Halomonas sp. RNAcentral's name for it is "bacterial SSU rRNA". It matches the Rfam family "Bacterial small subunit ribosomal RNA", at positions 518 to 1456 of the family's 1533-position model. Lineage: Bacteria; Pseudomonadati; Pseudomonadota; Gammaproteobacteria; Oceanospirillales; Halomonadaceae. The record is from RNAcentral.